GUGAACUUCCUUCAUGAAAACCGGCUCGAGAAGGGUCUAGUUUGAAAAUUUAGCUAUUAAUUUCGAUUUCAUGAGCAUAUUUUGGUUGCACGUUAAAUAUUUUUGUACUUGAUGAGAUUCAAAAUUUGUUGUAUAUUCAAGUCCGGCUUUAGUGUAAUUUUGGUGAUGACCGGAACAGAAAUAAAGAUAUUUUAAAAACUGGCCGUGGCCUCACGAUAAAACUUUCUAAAAAU
This is a non-coding RNA of Paramuricea clavata, 233 nucleotides long. NCBI's taxonomy places the organism in Eukaryota, Metazoa, Cnidaria, Anthozoa, Malacalcyonacea, Plexauridae. The record is from the annotation of a GenBank genome assembly.